GAUUAACGCUGGCGGCGUGCCUAACACAUGCAAGUCGAGCGGCAGCGAGUUUUACACUGAAUUCUGGAAGCUUCUAGUUGAGAGAGAAGAUUUAUUCAAGAAUUUUGUGUAAAAUGUCGGCGAGCGGCGGACGGCUGAGUAACGCGUGGGAACGUACCCCAAAGUGAGGGAUAACGCAUCGAAAGGUGUGCUAAUACCGCAUAUGGUCUUCGGAUUAAAGCCUUCGGGCGCUUUGGGAACGGCCUGCGUAAGAUUAGAUAGUUGGUGGGGUAAUGGCCUACCAAGUCGACGAUCUUUAACUGGUUUGAGAGGAUGAUCAGUCAGACUGGAACUGAGACACGGUCCAGACUCCUACGGGAGGCAGCAGUGAGGAAUCUUCCACAAUGGGCGAAAGCCUGAUGGAGCAACGCCGCGUGAAGGAUGAAGGCCUUCGGGUUGUAAACUGCUUUUAUAAGUGAGGAUUAUGACAGUAACUUAUGAAUAAGGAUCGGCUAACUACGUG
Molecule: ribosomal RNA, 502 nt
Filed under: uncultured bacterium
Lineage: Bacteria
Description: partial 16S ribosomal RNA
Rfam family: Bacterial small subunit ribosomal RNA
Source: RNAcentral